Molecule: unclassified non-coding RNA, 291 nt
Filed under: uncultured soil eukaryote
Lineage: Eukaryota
Description: sequence contains 18S rRNA gene, ITS1, 5.8S rRNA gene, ITS2
Source: RNAcentral
GGAAGGAUCAUUCAAACGACUUUUACUUUAUUGUAAAGGUUUUAGUUGUAGACACAAUACACCAAAAAAAAUUCAUAAAAUUUUACUGUUGGACUAUUCGGUUUGGACUAUGAUGAAGGAUGCUACAAAAUGUGAAAAGUGAAGGCUCGUGUUGCUUUUGAACCUUCAAAUAUCCGAAUCUUGUUAGAGUCACUUAGGUGAAUGAAUGAAUGAUAUAUUUUUCAUAAAGGAAAAUUAAGAUUUUUCUAUAUUCCAUCUUCAUUCUGGAGAAAAGAACCAAAACAAUUGAAA